CCUACGGGCGGCUGCAGUGGGGAAUAUUGGACAAUGGGCGAAAGCCUGAUCCAGCCAUGCCGCGUGUGUGAAGAAGGCCUUCGGGUUGUAAAGCACUUUCAGUGGGGAAGAAAGCCUUGGGGCUAAUACCCUCGAGGAGGGACAUCACCCACAGAAGAAGCACCGGCUAACUCCGUGCCAGCAGCCGCGGUAAUACGGAGGGUGCGAGCGUUAAUCGGAAUUACUGGGCGUAAAGCGCGCGUAGGCGGUCUGAUAAGCCGGUUGUGAAAGCCCCGGGCUCAACCUGGGAACGGCAUCCGGAACUGUCAGGCUAGAGUGCAGGAGAGGAAGGUAGAAUUCCCGGUGUAGCGGUGAAAUGCGUAGAGAUCGGGAGGAAUACCAGUGGCGAAGGCGGCCUUCUGGACUGACACUGACGCUGAGGUGCGAAAGCGUGGGUAGCAAACAGGACUAGAUACCCCAGUAGUC
Molecule: ribosomal RNA, 465 nt
Filed under: Vreelandella stevensii
Lineage: Bacteria; Pseudomonadati; Pseudomonadota; Gammaproteobacteria; Oceanospirillales; Halomonadaceae
Description: partial 16S ribosomal RNA
Rfam family: Bacterial small subunit ribosomal RNA
Source: RNAcentral